Long non-coding RNA from Helianthus annuus (common sunflower), 1079 nucleotides. RefSeq lists it as uncharacterized. The transcript has 2 exons. The record is from RefSeq and is a predicted model, not a curated record. NCBI's taxonomy places the organism in Eukaryota, Viridiplantae, Streptophyta, Magnoliopsida, Asterales, Asteraceae.
AAUGGUUGUAGCCUAAAUAACCCAAAUAACCACCAUCUUCUUCACACUAAAUCUUCCUCCUUUGUAAACGUCUAUGCCCUGCUAUCGGAAUUUUUUUCUUUUCCGAUGAUGUUAUGCUCAUUCUUCGCUCUCCUCUCUUUAUUUUUACUGCUCUAUUAUAAUUGGUGAGGCCGACCUCUAUACUUAUAAAAAUUUUGGUGGGGCCUGUUCUGUUAACGGAAGUAGCUUUAUGAACCACCGAAAUCGUGUAUUGUUUCUGUGUAUGUUGUAUACAUUUUAAUGUUAUUUAUUUUAAUCAUCUUAUUGCGUUAAAAUUCAGCACAUUAUUUUUCAUAAGGGCCAUGUAGAUGAGUUUAUUGCUCAGAAACGUUAAAAUUCGGCACAUUAUUUUUCUUAAGGCCAUGUAGAUGAAUUUAAAAAAGAACUCCAUGUGACAUAUGGACAAAAUAAAUACUCCAUGUGCUAUGAAAAAAAACAAAGACUAUGUGUGAUAUAGCAACAACCUAACAAAACUUCACAGUGGGUUAUUUAUUCAACAUUUGAAGACGAUCACAGUGCCGUUAAUGGAAGUUUACAUUAUUUUUCAUAAGGGCCAUGGAGAUGAAUUUAAAAUAGGACUCCAUGUGACAUAGCAACAAUCUGGCAAAACUUCACAGUGGGUUAUUCAACAUUUGAAGGCGAUCACGGUGCCUUUAAUGGAAGUUUCUAUUUGAAUCCUCAAAAGUAAUUGAGUUCCGUUAAAACCGUACCAUUAGAUGACAUGACAUGACAGAGUUGUUGAUGUGCAAUAGAGUUGACACCAAGAUCACAAUGCCUUCAAUGGAAGAUCACGAUGAAUGUUUCUUUUUACUUGGCAUUGAAGGACAUGCAGUUCGAGAAAGUCCCUUUGACACUCAAAAUCUUUCACAUGCAAGGAUCCAUACAAGACCUUACUCAAAACAGACAUUCCUGGAUGAUCAUGAAGGGUAUAACUGAGGAAGUGGGGAAGCAAAAUAUACACAUAACACAUCUGUAUUCAAAUCGUCUUCUUUUAUAACAUUGAUUAGUUUUUGAUAAGUGGAAAAUACAAACGGACGUAA